UUGCAGGAAUAAUCAUAGUGUCUGCAAGUGGAGAGUUGGAGAUAGAAGCGUCCUGCUUAAGAACAAAUCUCUUACUUUAUUUUCAUAUAUUAAUAGUAGCUAUUUCACAGGCCUAGGAGAAAAGGAAAAAUGUCAAAAAUAAAAUGAGAAAAGGGACAUAAACAUAAGGUCUAGCAUUAGGUCAUAAUAUAUUUCACUAUAGAAUCUAAUGAUCA
RNAcentral lists this long non-coding RNA (215 nucleotides) under Brassica rapa (field mustard). RNAcentral describes it as "long non-coding RNA (BRAP_LNC001636)". The record is from RNAcentral. Lineage: Eukaryota; Viridiplantae; Streptophyta; Magnoliopsida; Brassicales; Brassicaceae.